This 301-nucleotide ribosomal RNA is filed under the name uncultured bacterium. RNAcentral's name for it is "partial 16S ribosomal RNA". It matches the Rfam family "Bacterial small subunit ribosomal RNA", at positions 509 to 807 of the family's 1533-position model. The record is from RNAcentral.
CAGCAGCCGCGGUAAUACGAAGGGGGCUAGCGUUGUUCGGAAUUACUGGGCGUAAAGCGCACGUAGGCGGAUAUUUAAGUCAGGGGUGAAAUCCCGCAGCUCAACUGCGGAACUGCCUUUGAUACUGGGUAUCUUGAGUAUGGAAGAGGUUAGUGGAAUUGCGAGUGUAGAGGUGAAAUUCGUAGAUAUUCGCAGGAACACCAGUGGCGAAGGCGGCUAACUGGUCCAUAACUGACGCUGAGGUGCGAAAGCGUGGGGAGCAAACAGGAUUAGAUACCCCCGUAGUCCCUGUCUCUUAUAC